Molecule: ribosomal RNA, 167 nt
Filed under: Acentrogobius pflaumii (striped sandgoby)
Lineage: Eukaryota; Metazoa; Chordata; Actinopteri; Gobiiformes; Gobiidae
Also listed under: 1 other name
Description: partial 12S small subunit ribosomal RNA
Source: RNAcentral
CACCGCGGUUAUACGAGAGGCCCAAGUUGACAGAAUUCGGCGUAAAGAGUGGUUAAUGAAUAUUAUACUAAAGCCGAACACCCUCAAGACUGUUAUACGUGUUCGAGGGCAGGAAGCCCUUCAACGAAAGUGGCUUUAAUAAGCAUGAACCCACGAAAGCUAGGGCA